This 22-nucleotide microRNA is filed under the name Drosophila ananassae. RNAcentral describes it as "Dan-Mir-988_5p* (star (passenger))". The record is from RNAcentral. RNAcentral also lists the same sequence under 3 other names. Lineage: Eukaryota; Metazoa; Arthropoda; Insecta; Diptera; Drosophilidae.
GUGUGAUUUGUGGCAAAGUGAU